UGAGUUUGAUUCCCGGCUCAGGAUGAACGCUAGCGGCAGGCCUAACACAUGCAAGUCGAGGGGCAGCGAGUCUAGCUUGCUAGAUGUCGGCGACCGGCGCACGGGUGCGCACCGCGUAUGGAACCUACCUUGUACAGGGGAAUAGCCCAGGGAAACUUGGAUUAAUGCCCCGUGGUACUGUUGAUCGGCAUCGAUCGGCAGUUAAAGCCUUCGGGCGGUACAAGAUGGCCAUGCGUCCCAUUAGCUUGUUGGUAAGGUAACGGCUUACCAAGGCUACGAUGGGUAGGGGCCCUGAGAGGGGGAUCCCCCACACUGGUACUGAGACACGGACCAGACUCCUACGGGAGGCAGCAGUGAGGAAUAUUGGACAAUKGAGGAGACUCUGAUCCAGCCAUGCCGCGUGCAGGAAGAAUGCCCUAUGGGUAGUAAACUGCUUUUAUACGGGAAGAAAAAGAGCUACGUGUAGCUUACUGACGGUACCGUAAGAAUAAGGACCGGCUA
RNAcentral lists this ribosomal RNA (501 nucleotides) under Glaciecola sp. R4-Chit-T25-1. RNAcentral describes it as "bacterial SSU rRNA". It matches the Rfam family "Bacterial small subunit ribosomal RNA", at positions 1 to 499 of the family's 1533-position model. Lineage: Bacteria; Pseudomonadati; Pseudomonadota; Gammaproteobacteria; Alteromonadales; Alteromonadaceae. The record is from RNAcentral.